Myotis brandtii (Brandt's bat) is the source of this 2221-nucleotide long non-coding RNA. RefSeq lists it as uncharacterized. The record is from RefSeq and is a predicted model, not a curated record. Lineage: Eukaryota; Metazoa; Chordata; Mammalia; Chiroptera; Vespertilionidae. The transcript has 4 exons.
CCAACACUCUAGCCACUGAGUCGAACCGGCCGGGGCAGAUGCAGCUCUCUCCCAUAAAAGGCAGUCGCGAUUAUGAAGUAGGUUUCUUCGGUGCCUUAACGCUGCAGGCACCCUGCUGCCUGCUACCGUGGUGAGGACGCCACAGCUGCGGUGCCAGGACUGGGGACCACAGCUGCGAGCACCCCGCGCCUGACCCUUCCCGUAAAUGUGGUUCCCUACGCGGGGUUUUCUGCUGGGGCUGUGCACACAGCAGAGCAAACCUUCCUCUCCACUGACUGGCGGGCCCCGGCGAUGAGCGUGCUGUCAGUUUCCACAGAAGCCUCUGUGAGGACGGCCCAGCCCUGACACAAUGAACAAUCAGGGCAGAAGCUGUGGCUUCUUUGUUGGUGGAAGUGAAAUCCUGCGUGGGGAGCCGCCUUCCUGCCGCCGGUCCGCUGCUCGGAGCUGAAAGUGGUUUUGUCGCCGGGGAGGUAAAGGAAGGCUGAUUAACUGCAAUUCUCAUGUUUCGCUUUGAACAGGGUCUGCCAAUCCCCCACCGUUCGCCAGCCACCAGUCACUUAAAUACCACCCACCUAAGCACCAAAAAAGCCACCGUCGCAGCAUCCAGAUCCUGUCGGGGUGCGGUGGCUGCCAGGAUCAAUGAGAAGCGCCGAAGGUCGUUGGAUUCCCGCCUGGAGGUCAGGAGCUGUGCACAGUCAUGCGCCUUUUCAAGUCCGAAGAGGCAGCGAGGAGGCUUUUCAGUCCCUCAUCGUUCCCUGCAUCCACUCAGCUGACACCUGUCCAGGGACUUCUUCCUGUCCCGUCACCUGGUGGGGGAUCCGGAGUUGACCUGGUCCAGCAGGGAGGGGGCAAGACUGGGUUCAAGGUUGAAAUUACAUCAUCUCUGAAAACAGCCAGAGCAACAUGGUAGCCCAUCACAGUCCCAGAGCAACAAUGAGUUCCAUUGUAACUAUCAGGAGAACGCCAUAUUCUGAAGAGAUUUAUAUACUAGUAUGUACAGGGGUAAAGUGUCGAGGCAUAAACAGCUAUCAAAUAGUUUGGCAAAGGUACAUGUGUCUGCAUGUGUAUAUAUAGAUGCACACAUAUAAUGUGUAUAUUAUGUAUACAUAUAUUAUGUGUGGAUAUGUAUCUAGAGAGAGAGCAAACAUUGCAAAUUAGUAACAAUUGGUUAGUCUAGGUGAAGAAUACAGGGGUGUCCAUUGUAUUUAUGUUUUACCUUUUCUAUAGUUUUAAAUAUUUUCACAGCGCAAAGUUAGAGGAAAAUUUAUUAUCUCUGAUCUCAAGGAACUUACUAUCUAGAGAUUGAUUUUUUUCCUAGUGUAAAGGAAGAGGGGAGGAUUGGAUUGAAGACACGGGGCCAGAAGUCAUUCCUAGAAUGUGGACACUAUUAGACCAGGAUUCACGGAGUCCGGAGAGCGCUACCCACUGAGCAGUGUGGCAGGCCCGAGGCCCGGGGUGUGGUGGUCACAGCCUUGGACCUGGAAUUGGGGCCGUGGCGUCUGGACCGGCUCCUUCGAGGGAGCAGCCUGUGCCCUCUUUGCACACACGCCUGCCACGCCUCCCUCUGCGCGUCCGGAAAAUGAAGAAAUGGGCUUCUCUGAGGCCCCUUUCUGUGCUGAAAUUCUGUGGUUUUGAUUCGUAAUGAUGACUCAUCGUGAAUCAACAGAGAAAAUGAAAUUAUGUUCUGCAUAUUCUGGCUAAGAAAGCAGGCGAGGCUGCGCUCUCAGCGAGAAGCCACAGCGCCAGCGCCUUGCUCAGUGACGGUGACGUGCUGAGUCCCUCGCUCUGGCCGGAGGGGUAGAGUCACGGCCCCGACCAGGAGCGGAUGGAGCCUACAACCAAGGGUCCUGACCCAUGUCUGCUUUUCUCCAAAACCCAAACUCUGUCCAUGUCGGCCCUCUCAAAAUGUAGAAGAAAACACAAAGUAAAAAAUGGAGCCCCUUUAAAAUGGAGUCAGCGCUGCCAUCGGGGCUGCCCUGCGCGUCCUAUGCCUCAAGCCUCUGGAAUGCUCCAAGGGGACAAAAUAGCCUGUGGACGGGCCCAGAGCAACACUGUGUCCCCACAGCUGUUUGCAGAGAUAACAAGAAAGCAGCUAUUCUAACCUCCAGGCGGAGAAUUAGAAACAUUGUUUAGAAUUCUCGUCACUGUGUCUCCUUAUCUGCACCAAUGGCAGCUCUUCCUUCUCCGGAGGUCUCUGCCCCUCCUCUCUCAUACCCCCACC